Molecule: transfer RNA, 71 nt
Filed under: Chloroflexota bacterium
Lineage: Bacteria; Bacillati; Chloroflexota
Description: Chloroflexi bacterium (hot springs metagenome) tRNA-Cys
Rfam family: tRNA
About the family: Transfer RNA (tRNA) molecules are approximately 80 nucleotides in length. Their secondary structure includes four short double-helical elements and three loops (D, anti-codon, and T loops).
Source: RNAcentral
GGCGACGUGGCCAAGUGGCAAGGCAAGACUCUGCAAAAGUCUGAUCACCAGUUCGAGUCUGGUCGUCGCCU